This 7480-nucleotide long non-coding RNA is filed under the name Solanum lycopersicum (tomato). RNAcentral's name for it is "long non-coding RNA (SLYC_LNC000800)". The record is from RNAcentral. Lineage: Eukaryota; Viridiplantae; Streptophyta; Magnoliopsida; Solanales; Solanaceae.
ACACGGUACCCAGCAAGUAAAACGUCUAAACACAAGCUAAGGGGAUAAAAUACGGGUACUCCUACUACCCCAACCGAACCUCCUCCUGCAUGAAAUUCAGUCUAACCUAACAAUUCACAUUUAAAUAGCACGUAACUCUACAACAACACACAGACAAAUUACAUAUAUAUCCUGCGCAACAACACUUUACCAAAUUAUAUAUAUCCUAAAUAACAACACUUCAGCAAAUUACAUAUCCUCAACACCACUUUAACAAAUUGCAUAUCCUCAAUAACAACACUUCAACAAAUUACAUGUUCCACAAAGAGGCAAUUACAAGAUCAGCAAAUCACAAUAUCAAGUUCAAUAAUGUUAAGUAUGUGCAAUGCAAUGCAAUGGAAUGCAAUGUCAAGUAUAAUGAUGCAUGUCUGACCUAGUGAUACACACUCGCUGUCUCUCAGUCCGGGACCCAUGGGGGACAUAUCUGUCCAUGCAUCUGUCGUGGCGCACGACACGACCCUCGAUAUAGUAACCAUUACGGCGCGCGAUACGUCCCUCAAAAUAUAGUAUCCAUCGCGGCGCGCGAUACGUCCCUCGAAAUGGUACAUCCUCUUAAGUACUCAUUAUUUUUCAAUGCACAUAACACUUAUCACAACCAAUGCGUCAGAAUAAUGCAGAUGACAAGUUCACACUAAUAAUGAGGAGAUGACCACUUUUAUAACAUCACACAUAUCACAACCACACAAACAUGAAGUCACAUCAACAAUGAUUCAACAAGCCUUCAACUCUUUCUCAACACAUCACGCAUAAACAAUAGAUCACAUUGCCUUUUGUUAUCUCUUUCUUUUUUCUUCAUUAAAAUUAAUCAAUGUGGACAAGUCAACCCAUCACCAAUCCCGUUAAUCCCAAACAUAUACCACAAGGAAAUACACGCAUUUCAUACACUUAACAAGAGUUUAGAAAUCCACUUGCCUCCAGUAGUAAAAAAUCACUCCAAAACUUGAGUCUUCCCCAUUCAUUGGACUUCCAAAUAAAUGCAAUCUAUUCAAAUAGGUAAUCACAAUAAGAUUUCAAAACUAAUAACGCUCAUAUGUUAUAUGUCUACCUUAGACACACAAAUCCAUCCAAACUUAUAAUCAAGUUUCUUAAUCUUGAUAUCAAUUAACAUGUCAACUUUUUUUCAAUUUUCUCCAAAUUUCAAGCCUAGGGUUAAAUCUCAAUUUCUCAAUACACCUAAAGUUAAAAUUAAUCACAUCAUCAAAUUUCAUCAUUCUCUUAUACUAUCUUUUUACUUCUAGGCUAAUAAGGAUAAUGUAUGGGUGUAAAUAUGUAUGGAUAUACCAAAUUCACAUGACGGUUUUAAGUGGGAUACUCUAAAAUUUUGUACCUCUAAAAAUGAAACUAACAGUUUGGAAACCAUAUGAAUUAAGGUAAGGACAAAUAUAUUGGCCGUGCAUGAAACUAUAUUUGAAAGAGUCAUCAUUACAAAUUAUUGAAUAUAAUAUGUUUGUUAUUGUUUCUAGCCAAAAUUCUUCCAAACAACAUUGACUAAACAAUAUUCUAUAAAUAUUCAACUAUUCUAACUUACCAAUUUAAUAAUUAAUUAAUAUCUUACUCCUACACUAGUACAUAAAAACUAGAGAUGAAAAGUAGGCAAAUUCUUGUGUUACCUGGAGUGAGAACGCAUUCCUUGUGACGCCGAAUAAUGCCCUCUGCUUCUAUCAUGAAUAUUUUUUUUCUUUGUAAUUAAUAAAACAAAACCCCAUUUCAUUUUAAUCCAUUCUCAUACAUGGGCCAAAAUAGUAUAUGAUAUUAAAUAGAUCAUGGGCAUGGCCCAUUAAUUACUAAUUAUAUUAAUUAUUAAAAAAACUAAUCAAUAUAACACACAUAGUUAAAUGAGUAAUUCAAAAUUCUUAUUAAAAAUUUACAAAAAGAGGAUUUUUUUUGUGAAAGAUCCAUGAGUAUUUUUUUUUCAGAAUCACUUAAUGGGUCAUUACAUUAUCCACCACUUAAACCAUCUUCGUCCUCGAACAUAAAGAAGGAGAAGAAUGAAUAACCGACAUUACCAAACGCCCGAGUUAUAACCUAUCAAUCAGUGUUCAUCUUUUCAAGUGAGCUCCUUCUUAAGACCUUUCCAUCAAGAUCAACUACAGUUGAUUGAACUUUCGAAUAAAAUAUAGGAAGAUUUAUUAAUCAUGAAUGGUUAUUUAGCCACACACUAACUCAUGAAUUGAAUCUAAACUAAACUUAUUGGAUCUUUAACACAACCAUCAUGACGAAUCUCUUCUGACAUAACCAAAAUAACAUUCUGAAUCGAUGCUGACUACAAUCAGAAGUGAAAUUUAACCAACCAACACACAAUUAUAUACACAAACCAUCAGAGAUAUUAUCAAGACUUCCUUGUCACAACAUAAUCUUCAUGAGCUUAAACUAUAAAAAUGUGAUCUUUAGACAUCAAUACAAAUCAAGGGGGGAUCAAACUUAUCUAACCCAAAUUAGAACAAGAUCAAGUAACCACUUUACUAGCGAUUCACUCAAGCUAAUAGAACCUCGAACCACACUAUCAAAAUGUUAUAUCGAUAGCUAUUAUUGUAGACAGUCUUUAAUAAUGGUAGAGCUAUACCCAAUGCUCCCUUCAUUCAAUCACACAUAUUUGAAACGUGCCUUAAUGAUGAGAUGAAUACUAAGACUAUCAGACAACUGUAGGUAUCCAUGGUAGCACUUCUAUGAACUCUUAAACAAGAUUGUGUGUGUAGAAUCACUACUAUACUUCAACUUCCCAACAAUAGCAAAUCAUCCAUAAUUGAAAUGAAUAAGUCUAACCAAAAAUGCCAUCCUACCAAGAGGACAAUCACAAGAUCGGUACACCCAAUCCACCACUAGGAAUUUACCCAAAAAUACGAAAACAUGUGUGGGCAUAAACACCUAAUCACACUUUAAAUCAUAUCCAAAAUGAAGUAGGUGGUCACAUUAGAAUAAAUAGAACCAAGGUCGAAUAACACUUAAUACUUCUUCCAUAGUGACCAUAUUAAAUAUUUACAUUCAUAUGCCUAAUCUCCUUGAUUUUUUCUUCUUUUUGUUUGCCGCUCACAAUCAAGUUGUGUAGUCUCCUUAACAAUAUUAUACUUGCUUGAUUUGUAAAACCCCAAAACUUAUCACAGUGCUCCAGUAGAUCCAAUACUCUUAAUAUCAAUAAAAACUGUCACUAGUUUACAAUUCUUCUUAGCAAGCACAUUCCAGUCUCCAAAAUUUUGAACUAUGAUUUCUUCUCUUUCCAUUUAAGCUCCCAUGAUAGAUAUGAGUCCGUCAAGGCUGAUACACUAAUUCUAAAUCUGAUAGUACUUUCCCAUUGAGAUGAAGUUAUUAAAUCACCCCCAUAGUCAAUUCCUUACAAAUUUUUAGAUAUCAUGUUUUAACUACCAUUUACUCUUGUCAUAUGCCUCGUGCCAAAAUUUGAGAAAUCCUUCAUCACCCAAUAAUUAUGUAAACUAUAAUUUCAACCCAACAUCAAAUGCCUAUGUAACACAUCAUAACAGGUUGUAUCAUCUCAUCAACAAAUUAGUUUCAAUUUCCUCAAAAUCCUCAUUAAUUAUGUAAAAUUGUAGGUCCACACCGUUGAACAUCAAUAAGUUACCUAUCAUAAUUUGAACAAUCUAGCUCGACAUAACCACAUAUAAUCUUCCCCACAUCAUUACUUGUCACCCAAAAAAAUUCAAUCUUUAGAAAAGGUGAUGUUAAUUCCUAGUAAGUAUGUACUAUUUCAUAUUUCACAAUCAUAUCUAAAUUCAUAGAUAAAAAAAAAGCAAUAAAUUCUUCAACUACAAACCAAUGGCUUAUAUGAAAGGUCUAUUCCUUCAUUUUUCUUAAAUUCUUUCCAUGAGAAAAACUUAUAAUACCUUGAACUCUUCAAUACAUCAAAAUUUUGUUUUUUAAUAUAUUUAUUAGUUUAUUUUUAAUUUUUUUGCUAACUCGCUUACAAGUCUUAUUUUUUGUCCAACAACCUAUGAUAUUUUUACCUUAUCCUCCAAAUGAUAUUUUUACCUUAUCCUCCAAAUAAAAACUUAACUAAAACCAUUCCUUAGGUAUAACAAUCAAAAGAAAAAAAUUUACUACUCAAAUUAUUCUUAAGUCAAUCUCAAUGCUUCAUACCCAAUGUGAUCGAUCACUUCUUACCUUAUCAAUUCAUACCUUGACAAAACGCACUGCCACAACCUACACUUACAAUAAAAACUUGAUUUUUUUUAUUUAUUCUUUUGAUCCCAACCGUGUAACACAAUUCUAUUAUCUAUCAACAUUAGCUCACACCUGAAAUUUUAUGAAUUUAUGUAUCAUAGCUUAUCAUAUAUCGCCUCUCUAGCGACCUUAUAAUAUCCUUCGCUAAAAAAUAAAAUGUAGAUGAAUGUAUGUACAUUUUUUUCUCAAAUUUUAUCAAAUAGUCUUUAACAUAUAUGAAUGCCACAUAACAUUAUCACCAAACUAAAGCAAAACAGAAGGAACCACGAGUCCCUGAACUCAAUUCCCCAAAUUUUCACUGAAAAUACAUUCUAACCCUUGUAAUCAGAGUAAAUAUCCUAGCUCUCUCCUCUCUUUAAAAAGUUAAACUGCAUACCACUAAUUCUUUCCACAAUGGCUUUAGCUCCUUUCAAUUUUAUUCAAGUGGUGUCCCAACAUCUCAUACAACUUUCCAUAAAAAUCACACUACUUACCGAAUAGUAUCCAACCAUAACCUUAGAUAAUCAAAAGUCAUCAUUACCAUACAAAGUCCUUUUAACCAACAAACCUUAUCAUAUAGUUUUAUUCCAAGCAUAAUUUAUUAUAAAACCUUACUAGCAUCAUGCUUAGUUAAGCCUUGCCAUCACCACAAAUUAAACCUCGCCAUCAACAUGAAUUCUCAAACCUAGUUAUACCGACCAUCUUAGGGAAUCAUUCAAUUUAUACACACUUCCUUACUAAAAUUUUAAAUUACAUUCCCACAAAUAUACUCGUUGGGACUUAUUUUACCUAUAAACUGGUCAUCCUAAUAUCAGUCCACUUCCAUGGAAUUUAUAAUGAAAUAACCACUCAUUUAAAAAUCCUCAAAAUACACCAUAUAACCUAAACACAUUAAUAUUGUACCAAAGAUCCACCAUUAAAAGCUUUCUUAUAAAAAUGCUUAACUCAAGCGUCCAUAGUAACUAGUUGGUUUCCCAAAUAUGAAUUUAACAUUGAUCUUAUUAUAAGAGCAUGUGAUACAACAUAUAACUCCUUAUGUAGUUAAUAUUUGCACUUACAAUCAACAUAUUUGUUUUCAUAUAUCACUAGUACCACAUUGUGAAAGUUUGUUACAUCCACCACUAGGAUUCAACAUACACCUCGAGAAGAUUAUACUCAAUAGCCCACACAUUUCUGACCAUAAAGUAACUGCAACAUACUACUAAAUUCAUUCGAUCUCUCACCUGAAGUGAUUCAUUCAUAGAUCAGGUCAAUAGUACGAGUAAUUCACUCCAUAACUCUUAGCAAGUGAUGAUUGAUACCUUUAUAGUAGUAAUUUUGGAAUUCUUUUUGACAUUCCCUCAAUCUAUGAAACUAAAAUAAAGAUUCUGACCUCAAUUAGUGUAAUAUCACUCUCAUCAUUCACUGACCAUAUAUGUUAUAAAACUUUAAUUAAAUGUAGCUUUUAAAGCUAUCACACUCAUUAUCUAACCUUCUUUUUAGUCAUUUCACUUUCAAUUGUCAAACCACUCAAGAUAUUUCAUAUACCACACAAGUAUUGAUGCUAGAUACUAGCCUAAACAAAGUAUAAGACGCUCGUGAAGUCAGCUAAACCACUGUUCAACCUAAUCCUUGAAAUAUUUCAUCAUGUAAUCACCUAACUCAAUCUAUUUGAGUCGUUGAACAUUCCAAAUUUGAUACACAUCCUUCCCAUAAAUAUAUCACUUCCACAUUUGUUAAAAAUCUAACCUCAAAGACUAAUACAACACACUAAAUACUCAAAUGAGGAACUACGCACGAUAAUCACUAUAAAUGAGAGUGAACCAAAUAAGGCGAUAAAAAUCAGAAUCGGAUCAAGUACGCACGAUAGAGAUUCAAAACAGUGAAAUAUUUUCCUAAAAGUCAUUAUAGCCUCUCGAAGAUAAGUACAGACGUCUCCGUAUAGAUCUUCGACACUCUACAUGGACUCGACUUGUACACACGCGAGACCGAUGAACUUGGGGCUCUGAUAUCAUUUUGUCACGACCCAAAAAUGGACGUGAUGGCACUCGUCUUAUCCCACCAAGACAAGUAAGCCUAAAAUUCAACUAUUACAAUAAAAGUGCAGAAAAUUUACUAUAAACUUACAUUAUACCCCAAAACCUGGUUGUCACGUGUACAAGCCUCUAAAGUAUUACAAUUGAUUCAAAAGCAAUGCUAGCCUCAAAUGAACUUGUUUCUAGAAUAGAUUAAGGUCAUAACUAAGGAGAAAGAAAGUACGUUGAGGCGACAAACAGCUACCUCUCAAAUCUCCAAGAAAUCUCAGACAAGGAGAAGAGAAAUAUCACAAAGUCCGGGCUAGUAACCUAAAAAAAAAAUUAUAGUAGCAAGGGUUGAGUACCAAACCACACGGUACCCAGCAAGUAAAACGUCUAAACACAAGCUAAGGGGAUAAAAUACAAGUACUCCUACUAUCCCAACCGAACCUCCUCCUACAUGAAAUUCAGUCUAACCUAACAGUUCACAUUUAAAUAGCACGUAACUCUACAACAACACACAGACAAAUUACAUAUAUAUCCUGCGCAACAACACUUUACCAAAUUAUAUAUAUCCUCAAUAACAACACUUCAGCAAAUUACAUAUCCUCAACACUACUUCAACAAAUUACAUAUCCUCAAUAACAACACUUCAACAAAUUACAUGUUCCACAAAGAGGCAAUUACAAGAUCAGCAAAUCACAAUAUCAAGUUCAAUAAUGAUAAGUAUGUGCAAUGCAAUGCAAUGGAAUGCAAUGUCAAGUAUAAUUAUGCAUGUCUGACCUAGUGAUACACACCCGCUGUCUCUCAGUCCGGGACCCAUGGGGGACAUAUCUGUCCAUGCAUGUGUUGCGGCGCACGACACGACCUUCAAUAUAGUAACCAUCGCGGCGCGCGAUACGUCCCUCGAAAUAUAGUAUCCAUCGCGGCGCGCGAUACGUCCCUCGAAAUGGUACAUCCUUUUAAGUACUCAUUAUUUUUCAAUGCACAUAACACUUAUCACAACCAAUGCGUCAGAAUAAUGCAGAUGACAAGUUCACACAAAUAAUGAGGAGAUGACCACUAUCAUAACAUCGAACAUAUCACAACCACACAAACAUGAAGUCACAUCAACAAUGAUACAACAAACCUUCAACUCUUUCUCAACACAUCACGCAUAAACAAUAGAUCACAUUGCCUUUUGUUAUCCCUUUCUUUUUUCAUCAUUAGAAUUAAUCAAUGUGGACAAGUCAGCCCAUCACCAAUCCUGUUACUCCCAAACAUAUACCACAAGGAAAUACACGCAUUUCAUACAC